GACGAACGCUGGCGGCGUGCUUAACACAUGCAAGUCGAACGGAAAGGCCCUGCUUUUGUGGGGUGCUCGAGUGGCGAACGGGUGAGUAACACGUGAGUAACCUGCCCUUGACUUUGGGAUAACUUCAGGAAACUGGGGCUAAUACCGGAUAGGAGCUCCUGCUGCAUGGUGGGGGCUGGAAAGUUUCGGCGGUUGGGGAUGGACUCGCGGCUUAUCAGCUUGUUGGUGGGGUAGUGGCUUACCAAGGCUUUGACGGGUAGCCGGCCUGAGAGGGUGACCGGCCACAUUGGGACUGAGAUACGGCCCAGACUCCUACGGGAGGCAGCAGUGGGGAAUAUUGCACAAUGGGCGGAGCCCUGAUGCAGCAACGCCGCGUGCGGGAUGACGGCCUUCGGGUUGUAAUCCGCUUUCGCCUGUGACGAAGCGUGAGUGACGGUAAUGGGUAAAGAAGCACCGGCUAACUACGUG
This 468-nucleotide ribosomal RNA is filed under the name uncultured bacterium. Its description in RNAcentral is "partial 16S ribosomal RNA". It matches the Rfam family "Bacterial small subunit ribosomal RNA", at positions 28 to 507 of the family's 1533-position model. The record is from RNAcentral.